GAGAGAAUUGCUAGCUUGCUAAUAAUUCUCUAGUGGCGCACGGGUGAGUAACACGUGAGUAACCUGCCCCCGAGAGCGGGAUAGCCCUGGGAAACUGGGAUUAAUACCGCAUAGUAUCGAAAGAUUAAAGCAGCAAUGCGCUUGGGGAUGGGCUCGCGGCCUAUUAGUUAGUUGGUGAGGUAACGGCUCACCAAGGCGAUGACGGGUAGCCGGUCUGAGAGGAUGUCCGGCCACACUGGAACUGAGACACGGUCCAGACACCUACGGGUGGCAGCAGUCGAGAAUCAUUCACAAUGGGGGAAACCCUGAUGGUGCGACGCCGCGUGGGGGAAUGAAGGUCUUCGGAUUGUAAACCCCUGUCAUGUGGGAGCAAAUUAAAAAGAUAGUACCACAAGAGGAAGAGACGGCUAACUCUGUGCCAGCAGCCGCGGUAAUACAGAGGUCUCAAGCGUUGUUCGGAAUCACUGGGCGUAAAGCGUGCGUAGGCUGUUUCGUAAGUCGUGUGUGAAAGGCGCGGGCUCAACCCGCGGACGGCACAUGAUACUGCGAGACUAGAGUAAUGGAGGGGGAACCGGAAUUCUCGGUGUAGCAGUGAAAUGCGUAGAUAUCGAGAGGAACACUCGUGGCGAAGGCGGGUUCCUGGACAUUAACUGACGCUGAGGCACGAAGGCCAGGGGAGCGAAAGGGAUUAGAUACCCCUGUAGUCCUGGCAGUAAACGGUGCACGCUUGGUGUGCGGGGAAUCGACCCCCUGCGUGCCGGAGCUAACGCGUUAAGCGUGCCGCCUGGGGAGUACGGUCGCAAGAUUAAAACUCAAAGAAAUUGACGGGGACCCGCACAAGCGGUGGAGUAUGUGGCUUAAUUCGAUGCAACGCGAAGAACCUUACCUGGGCUUGACAUGUAAUGAACAACAUGUGAAAGCAUGCGACUCUUCGGAGGCGUUACACAGGUGCUGCAUGGCCGUCGUCAGCUCGUGUCGUGAGAUGUUUGGUUAAGUCCAGCAACGAGCGCAACCCCUGUUGCCAGUUACCAGCACGUGAAGGUGGGGACUCUGGCGAGACUGCCCAGAUCAACUGGGAGGAAGGUGGGGACGACGUCAGGUCAGUAUGGCCCUUAUGCCCAGGGCUGCACACGUACUACAAUGCCCAGUACAGAGGGGGCCGAAGCCGCGAGGCGGAGGAAAUCCUAAAAACUGGGCCCAGUUCGGACUGUAGGCUGCAACCCGCCUACACGAAGCCGGAAUCGCUAGUAAUGGCGCAUCAGCUACGGCGCCGUGAAUACGUUCCCGGGUCUUGUACACACCGCCCGUCACAUCAUGGAAGCCGGUCGCACCCGAAGUAUCUGAAGCCAACCGCAA
This 1356-nucleotide ribosomal RNA is filed under the name Akkermansia muciniphila. RNAcentral describes it as "bacterial SSU rRNA". It matches the Rfam family "Bacterial small subunit ribosomal RNA". Lineage: Bacteria; Pseudomonadati; Verrucomicrobiota; Verrucomicrobiia; Verrucomicrobiales; Akkermansiaceae. The record is from RNAcentral.